GAUGAACGCUGGCGGCGUGCCUAAUACAUGCAAGUCGAGCGAACAGACGAGGAGCUUGCUCCUCUGACGUUAGCGGCGGACGGGUGAGUAACACGUGGAUAACCUACCUAUAAGACUGGGAUAACUUCGGGAAACCGGAGCUAAUACCGGAUAAUAUAUUGAACCGCAUGGUGCAAUAGUGAAAGACGGUUUUGCUGUCACUUAUAGAUGGAUCCGCGCCGCAUUAGCUAGUUGGUAAGGUAACGGCUUACCAAGGCAACGAUGCGUAGCCGACCUGAGAGGGUGAUCGGCCACACUGGAACUGAGACACGGUCCAGACUCCUACGGGAGGCAGCAGUAGGGAAUCUUCCGCAAUGGGCGAAAGCUUGACGGAGCAACGCCGCGUGAGUGAUGAAGGUCUUCGGAUCGUAAAACUCUGUUAUUAGGGAAGAACAAAUGUGUAAGUAACUAUGCACGUCUUGACGGUACCUGAUCAGAAAGCCACGGCUAACUACGUG
RNAcentral lists this ribosomal RNA (497 nucleotides) under uncultured bacterium. RNAcentral describes it as "partial 16S ribosomal RNA". It matches the Rfam family "Bacterial small subunit ribosomal RNA", at positions 28 to 507 of the family's 1533-position model. The record is from RNAcentral.